Molecule: ribosomal RNA, 866 nt
Filed under: Neosetophoma garethjonesii
Lineage: Eukaryota; Fungi; Ascomycota; Dothideomycetes; Pleosporales; Phaeosphaeriaceae
Description: eukaryotic LSU rRNA
Rfam family: Eukaryotic large subunit ribosomal RNA
Source: RNAcentral
AGCGGAGGAAAAGAAACCAACAGGGAUUGCCCUAGUAACGGCGAGUGAAGCGGCAACAGCUCAAAUUUGAAAUCUGGCUCUUUCAGAGUCCGAGUUGUAAUUUGCAGAGGGCGCUUUGGCGUUGGCAGCGGUCCAAGUUCUUUGGAACAGGACGUCACAGAGGGUGAGAAUCCCGUACGUGGUCGCUAGCCUUCGCCGUGUAAAGCCCCUUCGACGAGUCGAGUUGUUUGGGAAUGCAGCUCUAAAUGGGAGGUAAAUUUCUUCUAAAGCUAAAUACUGGCCAGAGACCGAUAGCGCACAAGUAGAGUGAUCGAAAGAUGAAAAGCACUUUGGAAAGAGAGUCAAAUAGCACGUGAAAUUGUUGAAAGGGAAGCGCUUGCAGCCAGACUUGCCUGUAGUUGCUUAUCUAGACUUUUGUCUAGUGCACUCUUCUGCGGGCAGGCCAGCAUCAGUCUAGGCGGUUGGAUAAAGGUCUCUGUCAUGUACCUCUCUUCGGGGAGGCCUUAUAGGGGAGACGACAUGCAACCAGCCUGGACUGAGGUCCGCGCAUCUGCUAGGAUGCUGGCGUAAUGGCUGUAAGCGGCCCGUCUUGAAACACGGACCAAGGAGUCUAACAUCUAUGCGAGUGUUUGGGUGUCAAGCCCAGACGCGUAAUGAAAGUGAACGGAGGUGGGAACCCUUUGGGUGCACCAUCGACCGAUCCUGAUGUCUUCGGAUGGAUUUGAGUAAGAGCAUGGCUGUUGGGACCCGAAAGAUGGUGAACUAUGCUUGAAUAGGGUGAAGCCAGAGGAAACUCUGGUGGAGGCUCGCAGCGGUUCUGACGUGCAAAUCGAUCGUCAAAUUUGGGCAUAGGGGCGAAAGACUAA